UGCAUCAGUUGCUCGAUACAGUAGCUGGCCUCCGCCUUGUACUUCGUCCCAUCAGACAAGAAAGUUAGUCUCGUUGCUGAGAUGAAGUUCACCGCUGCCAUCAUGCUCGUCGCACUCCUUACAGCGUUCGCGGUGAUGAUCACUGCAGCCGACGAGAGAAAUGACGAGACGCGCACGGGAGGUGGUUAUGGCUCUGGAUGCCCAGACGCCACUGCCUGCACCACAAGCUGCAAAGCCAAGGGUUUCCUCCUAGGCGUAUGCCUCCAACCCCUACUGCAAAUCUGUUUGUGUACGUAAAUUUGUUGAAGUCGACGACUGACUGGCAAUAAAGCUCGCGCACACAUGCGGUUGUCUAAUUUCUCCCACUACUUUACCAGAUUGAAUCAAUUGUAUAUGUAAAUCUGGUCACAUGUGGUAUUGUAGUCCAUUCUAAACUUACCUGUACUGACGCACCGAAUGAUAUGGUGAAGCAAAUGUUCCAGUGCACCUAUAGGCGCUUUCCCCCUGAAGAAUACGGUUCCCUGCUCGAAAUCUCACGCAAAAUACGUCGACAAGACCAUGUGCUAGAAAGUGCUUAUUUCAAAACAUAAUUUUUGUUUCCAGCAUGAGCGUGAAUUCGUCGAAGC
Dermacentor andersoni is the source of this 626-nucleotide long non-coding RNA. RefSeq lists it as uncharacterized. The record is from RefSeq and is a predicted model, not a curated record. Lineage: Eukaryota; Metazoa; Arthropoda; Arachnida; Ixodida; Ixodidae.